RNAcentral lists this ribosomal RNA (497 nucleotides) under uncultured bacterium. Its description in RNAcentral is "partial 16S ribosomal RNA". It matches the Rfam family "Bacterial small subunit ribosomal RNA", at positions 28 to 507 of the family's 1533-position model. The record is from RNAcentral.
GAUGAACGCUGGCGGCGUGCCUAACACAUGCAAGUCGAACGGAAAGACGAUGAGAUUUUGCCCCUGCGGGUGGCGGGGGGCGGGUGAGUGAGGCAUGCAUCACCUACCUAUAUGACUGGGAUAAUAACGGGAAGCCACUGCUGCUAAUAGAGAAUAUAUUCCACGGCAUGGUUCAAUAGUGCUUGAGGGUUUUGGUGUUUCUAUGAGAUGGAUCCGGGUCGGAUUAGCUAGUUGGUAAGGUAACGGCUUACCAAGGCUACGAUGCGUAGCUGACCUGAGAGGGUGAUCAGCCACACUGGAACUGAGACACGGUCCAGACUCCUACGGGAGGCAGCAGUGGGGAAUCUUGGACAAUGGGCGAAAGCCUGAUGCAGCCACGCCGCGUGGGUGAAGAAGGUCUUCGGGUCGUAAAACCCUUUUAUUGGGGAAGAACAAAUGUAGAAGUAACUAUGCACGUCUUGACGGUACCUAAAGAAAAAGCACCGGCUAACUACGUG